Molecule: transfer RNA, 70 nt
Filed under: Schistosoma mansoni
Lineage: Eukaryota; Metazoa; Platyhelminthes; Trematoda; Strigeidida; Schistosomatidae
Source: RNAcentral
UAUUUCAAAAAUUUUAUGAGCAAAGAUGAAUAGUGGCUAGCAGUGGAAUCCAGGACGCGCGUUUCGUCCU